UUGACCUCGGAUCAGGUAGGGAUACCCGCUGAACUUAAGCAUAUCAAUAAGCGGAGGAAAAGAAACCAACAGGGAUUGCCUCAGUAACGGCGAGUGAAGCGGCAACAGCUCAAAUUUGAAAUCUGGCUCUUUCAGGGUCCGAGUUGUAAUUUGUAGAAGAUGCUUUGGGUGUGGCUCCGGUCUAAGUUCCUUGGAACAGGACGUCAUAGAGGGUGAGAAUCCCGUACGUGACUGGUUGCCUCCGCCCGUGUAAAGCUCUUUCGACGAGUCGAGUUGUUUGGGAAUGCAGCUCAAAAUGGGUGGUAAAUUUCAUCUAAAGCUAAAUAUUGGCCAGAGACCGAUAGCGCACAAGUAGAGUGAUCGAAAGAUGAAAAGCACUUUGGAAAGAGAGUUAAACAGUACGUGAAAUUGUUGAAAGGGAAGCGCUUGCAACCAGACUUGCAUGCGGUUGAUCAUCCGAGCUUCUGCCCGGUGCACUCGAUCGUAUUCAGGCCAGCAUCGGUUUUGGUGGGCGGAUAAAGGCCUUGGGAAUGUAGCUUCCUUCGGGGAGUGUUAUAGCCCUCGGUGCAAUGCGCCCAACCGGGACCGAGGACCGCGCUUCGGCUAGGAUGCUGGCGUAAUGGUUGUAAGCGACCCGUCUUGAAAACGGACCA
Molecule: ribosomal RNA, 653 nt
Filed under: mycorrhizal fungal sp. pkc15
Lineage: Eukaryota; Fungi
Description: eukaryotic LSU rRNA
Rfam family: Eukaryotic large subunit ribosomal RNA
Source: RNAcentral